GAUGAAGAACGUAGCGAAAUGCGAUAAGUAAUGUGAAUUGCAGAAUUCAGUGAACCAUCGAAUCUUUGAACGCACAUUGCGCCCGCCAGUAUUCUGGCGGGCAUGCCUGUUCGAGCGUCAUUUCAACCAUCAAGCCCCCGGCUUGUGUUGGGGACCUGCGGCUGCCGCAGGCCCUGAAAACCAGUGGCGGGCUCGCUGUCACACCGAGCGUAGUAGAUUUUCAUCUCGCUCAGGGCGUGCUGCGGGUUCCGGCCGUAAAAAGCCUUAUUUACCCAAGGUUGACCUCGGAUCAGGUAGGAAGACCCGCUGAACUUAAGCAUAUCAAUAAGCGGAGGA
RNAcentral lists this unclassified non-coding RNA (336 nucleotides) under soil metagenome. RNAcentral describes it as "partial contains 5.8S ribosomal RNA, internal transcribed spacer 2, and large subunit ribosomal RNA". The stretch from base 1 to 120 matches the Rfam family "5.8S ribosomal RNA", at positions 35 to 154 of the family's 154-position model. The record is from RNAcentral.